UACGUAGGCAGCGAGCGUUGUUCGGAAUUACUGGGCGUAAAGAGUGUGUAGGCGGUGCUCUAAGUUCGGUGUGAAAUCUCCUGGCUUAACUGGGAGGGUGCGCCGGAAACUGGAGUGCUCGAGUGUGGGAGAGGAAAGCGGAAUUCCUGGUGUAGCGGUGAAAUGCGUAGAUAUCAGGAGGAACACCUGUGGUGUAGACGGCUUUCUGGACCAUUGCUGACGCUGAGACACGAAAGCGUGGGUAGCAAACAGG
This 253-nucleotide ribosomal RNA is filed under the name uncultured bacterium. RNAcentral describes it as "partial 16S ribosomal RNA". It matches the Rfam family "Bacterial small subunit ribosomal RNA", at positions 524 to 776 of the family's 1533-position model. The record is from RNAcentral.